This 200-nucleotide ribosomal RNA is filed under the name uncultured bacterium. RNAcentral's name for it is "partial 16S ribosomal RNA". It matches the Rfam family "Bacterial small subunit ribosomal RNA", at positions 29 to 222 of the family's 1533-position model. The record is from RNAcentral.
AGUGAACGCUGGCGGCAGGCCUAACACAUGCAAGUCGAACGGCAGCACAGUAAGAGCUUGCUCUUAUGGGUGGCGAGUGGCGGACGGGUGAGGAAUACAUCGGAAUCUACUCUGUCGUGGGGGAUAACGUAGGGAAACUUACGCUAAUACCGCAUACGACCUACGGGUGAAAGCAGGGGAUCUUCGGACCUUGCGCGAUU